Molecule: unclassified non-coding RNA, 255 nt
Filed under: Typhula sp.
Lineage: Eukaryota; Fungi; Basidiomycota; Agaricomycetes; Agaricales; Typhulaceae
Also listed under: 1 other name
Description: partial contains 5.8S ribosomal RNA, internal transcribed spacer 2, and large subunit ribosomal RNA
Rfam family: 5.8S ribosomal RNA (bases 1-52)
Source: RNAcentral
AACGCAUAUUGCGCCCUCUGGUAUUCCGGAGGGCAUGCCUGUCCGAGCGUCAUUACUACCUCUCAAGCACAGCUUGUUGUUGAGUCUGUCCAUCCAGACAGGCUUGAAAUGCAGUGGCGAUGCCAAGUUGGUGCCCAAGUGUAUGGGGCUUUGUCACACGCUUUGUGGCCCAGCGGGCAUUUGCCUUUUAACUAAGUUAGUUAAACCUAAACAAGAUUUGACCUCGGAUCAGGUAGGAAUACCCGCUGAACUUAA